Molecule: ribosomal RNA, 89 nt
Filed under: Sinocyclocheilus grahami
Lineage: Eukaryota; Metazoa; Chordata; Actinopteri; Cypriniformes; Cyprinidae
Source: RNAcentral
ACUGGCAAAUAAUCAAACUUAUUAUUAUUAUUGAUUAACCUGGUCAGUACCUGGAUGGGAGACCUCCUGGGAAAAUUAGGUUGCUGCUG